UGAGGAAUAUUGCGCAAUGGGGGAAACCCUGACGCAGCGACGCCGCGUGGAUGAUGAAGGCCUUCGGGUCGUAAAAUCCUGUCAAGUGGAAAGAAGUGCAUAUAUGCUAAUAUCAUGUAUGUUUGACGGUACCACUGAAGGAAGCACCGGCUAACUCCGUGCCAGCAGCCGCGGUAAUACGGAGGGUGCAAGCGUUGUUCGGAAUUACUGGGCGUAAAGCGCGCGUAGGCGGUUUGUUAAGUCAGAUGUGAAAGCCCAUGGCUCAACCAUGGACGUGCAUUUGAAACUGGCAGACAUGAGUAUUGGAGGGGGUGGUGGAAUUCCCGGUGUAGAGGUGAAAUUCGUAGAUAUCGGGAGGAAUAUCAGUGGCGAAGGCGACCACCUGGCCAAAUACUGACGCUAAGGUGCGAAAGCGUGGGGAGCAAACA
RNAcentral lists this ribosomal RNA (428 nucleotides) under uncultured prokaryote. RNAcentral describes it as "bacterial SSU rRNA". It matches the Rfam family "Bacterial small subunit ribosomal RNA", at positions 355 to 774 of the family's 1533-position model. The record is from RNAcentral.